This 792-nucleotide unclassified non-coding RNA is filed under the name Hevea brasiliensis (rubber tree). The record is from RNAcentral. Lineage: Eukaryota; Viridiplantae; Streptophyta; Magnoliopsida; Malpighiales; Euphorbiaceae.
CCUUGGGAACACUAAGUUAAUAGCUACCUUCUUAAGGUAAUAUUUAAUCCUUGAUUUCUUAGUAGUAUAUACGUGCAAUAUUGCUUUGAGGCCUAAAAUGGACCUUAAUGAAACAAAGAUUCUUUGUGACACUUACAUUUACAACAUAUGGAAAAACAAAAAAUGUAGAGUACUCAAAUUAACCCAAUCAAAUGUUCUAGCUUAUAACAUCUACUCACCAUUUUAAGUUGGUAGCCAUGACAAAUUCUGUAAAAAUUUUCAUCAGUUCCCCUCAUGCCUGCCACUGUGUUACCAAAAAUAACAACCUAAUUCCUCGCAUGACACUGAGCUUCUAAGGUUUUAGCCAAAAAAGCCAUCAAUUUCAAUGUCUACAAUAUCUAUCAAUUGUCCUUCUCUUUGAAGGAGUCAAGAAGUAUACUUUUUUUUUUUUCCAAAGGAGUCGAGAUCGAAAUUAAUGUAAUACCCGGAAAACUUACAAAACCAUUUUAGUAAAUAUCUUGCUCAGUUUGUAGAUGAGCAUGGUGCAAUCUAACUCCAUUAUCCUUCCAUGUUUGAAAACAAAUCUAAUCUCCUUUUGUCGGCCUCUGAAGCGAAAAUCUUGGUGCAUUUAGUUGACUAGUAUCAGCUGUACUUGAGAAUGUUGUAUUCUUAUGUAUAGCUUCUCCAGAGGAAGCACUGUCCUUCACGCCUUCUGUCAACUCUAGGGAUGACUCAUGAGAAGUAUCAUUUGAAACAUUGCCAAGUAGGCUUUUGUACAUAGUCAGAGCUUGAGCCAUUAUAUUAGCAGGAUUG